AACCCAUGCUAAAGACAUUUCUGUAGGAGCUCCUUGAACCUAUCCCAUGUCUCACAACGAUACUUCAAUUCCAAUUGCACAAAGGAGGAAAUUCCACUCCUGAGCUU
Dioscorea cayenensis subsp. rotundata (Guinea yam) is the source of this 107-nucleotide small nucleolar RNA. NCBI's taxonomy places the organism in Eukaryota, Viridiplantae, Streptophyta, Magnoliopsida, Dioscoreales, Dioscoreaceae. The record is from RefSeq and is a predicted model, not a curated record.